This 2202-nucleotide ribosomal RNA is filed under the name Triticum aestivum (bread wheat). RNAcentral describes it as "partial small subunit ribosomal RNA". Lineage: Eukaryota; Viridiplantae; Streptophyta; Magnoliopsida; Poales; Poaceae. The record is from RNAcentral.
AUGAUGGCGGCCGCAGCGCAUCCCGGGCAGCCGGACCUGGGCGGACUGGUGGACGCGCUCUGCGCGUCCGGCCGCUCCGCCGAGGCGCACCACCGCGUCGCGCUCCUCCUCUCCUCCGCAUCCGCAUCCGCGUCGCGCCGCCUCGACGCGCCCACCGCCAACGGCCUCCUCGCCCGCCUCCUCCGCGCGCGCACGCCCCUCCUCACGCUCCGCCUCGUCCAGGCCGCCCCGUUCGCGCCCUCCCUCCCCAACUACAACCGCCUCCUCGCCCUGCUCUCCUCCGCCGCCGCGCCCUGGCUCCUCCUCCUCGCCCACCGCCUCCUCCUCCGCAUGCGCGUGCCUCCGAGCGCCGUCUCCUACGCCGCGCUGCUGGACGGCUACGCGUGCGCCGCGGACCCUCGCGCCGCCCAGAAGCUGCUCGACGAAAUGCCCCGCUGGGGGCUCGCCCCCAGCUCCCUCGCGCGCACUUUCCUCGUCAAGGCCUUCCUCCGCAGCCGCGACGUCGGCGCGGCCAUGGACCUCGUCGACAACCGGCUCUGGCCCAGCAUGGAGCGCUGCCACGACGAGGACCAGGGGCUCAAGAACGCGGCCUUUGCCAACCUUGUGCAGUGCCUGUGCGUCGAGGGGUUCUUCCACAUUGUCUUCCGCGUCGCCGAGGAGAUGCCGCAGCGGCGCUGCCUCGUCCCGGACGAGUUUGCCUAUGCCCAGAUGAUUGACUCUCUCUGCCGGGCUGGACAGCACCAUGGCGCCUCCAGAAUAGUGUACAUCAUGGGGAAGAGGGGCCUGUGCCCAAGCACCCUGUCCUACAACUGCAUUGUUCACGGGCUAUGCACCAGCCAGAAGCCCGGGGGACGCCUGAGGGCGUACCAGCUGGUGAUGGAAGGUGUGCGUUCCGGGUACCGACCGAGAGAGGUAACAUACAAGGUACUCGUCGAAGAGCUCUGCCGGGAGAAAGAGCUUGCCAAGGCAAAGGAUGUCCUGGAGCUGAUGCUGCAGCCCCAAUGUGGGCAUGACAAGCCUGACGAGGAGACCAGGACUAGGCUAUACAAUAUGUUCCUUGGGGCACUGCGUGCUGUGGACAACCCAAGCGAGCAGCUCAGUGUGCUCGUGUCCAUGUUGCAGGGGGACUGCAAACCGGAUGUGAUCACUAUGAACACUGUCGUUCAUGGCUUCUGCAAAGUUGGGCGUACCCAGGAGGCUAGAAAGAUUUUGGACGACAUGAUUAAUGGGCAAUUCUGUGCUCCUGAUGUUGUCACCUUCACCACACUCAUUUCGGGAUACCUGGAUGUAGGUGAGCAUGCAGAAGCCCUCCAUGUGCUGCACACUUUGAUGCCCAGGCGCCGGUGCGCCCCUAAUGUUGUCACUUACAAUUCUGUCCUCAAGGGAUUGUUCUGCCUUGGGCUAGUUGACAGAGCAAUGCAGGUCAUCGAUGAAAUGAAAUCAAGUAGCAUCACUGCCGACUCUGUAACUCACACUGUGGUGAUCAAAGGGUUGUGCAACGCGGGGCAGCUUGAGAAAGCAAAGGCAUUCUGGGACAAUGUAGUCUGGCCAUCAGGGAUACAUGAUGGUUAUGUGUACAGUGCAAUCUUGAGAGGCCUCUGCAAACUGGGGAAACUGGAGCAGGCAUGUGAUUUCCUAUAUGAGUUGGCAGACUGUGGGGUUUGUCCCAGUGUUGUCUGCUACAACAUACUCAUUGACACUGCCUGCAAGCAGGGAUUGAAGAAGUUGGCCUAUCAAUUGGUGAAGGAGAUGAGAAGGAAUGGCCUUUCACCGGACGCUGUGACUUGGAGGAUUCUUGAGAAAUUGCACCUUUAUGGCAAUGAAGAGCAAGAGGAGCACCAGGUCCCCACUUAUCAUAUCGAUCAAAGUUCUGCAGAUGACAGAGUAGAGCCUCUCGUCUCAACAAAAAAUGAGAUACCUUCGUUGUCAUCGUCAUCAUCGUCAGAACCUUUGGAUGAAGUAUACAAGAAUAACAACGAAGCUAAGGUUGAAGAAGCUGGAAGGUCACCAGAAAGGACUGAGAACCCAUCAGAUCUUACUGAGCCAGCAAAGGAGCAGAACUAUCUGAUAGACAGUUCAGUGGUUGGACCAACAAUGGACAAGGAUCAUACAAUCAGUGAUGAUGGCUUCAACAAGCAGGAUGAGCAACCUCUAAGAGAACCACUUUCUGGAGUAGCCAGAAGGGUUUUUGGCUUGCUCUAG